This is a ribosomal RNA of Papaver somniferum (opium poppy), 156 nucleotides long. RefSeq annotates it as 5.8S ribosomal RNA. NCBI's taxonomy places the organism in Eukaryota, Viridiplantae, Streptophyta, Magnoliopsida, Ranunculales, Papaveraceae. The transcript has a single exon. The record is from RefSeq and is a predicted model, not a curated record.
GACUCUCGGCAACGGAUAUCUCGUCUCUCGCAUCGAUGAAGAACGUAGGGAAAUGCUAUACUUGGUGUGAAUUGCAGAAUCCCGUGAACCAUCGAGUUUUUGAACGCAAGUUACGCCCCAAGCCUUCGGGCCGAGGGCACGCUUUCCUGGGUGUCA